CUGUGGUGGACCUCCCUGGGGCUGUGCCAGGCUGGCUCGACCAGCGCCGGUGUGGCUGAGGUGGAGAAGAGGCAGACUUCCCAAUGAGGGCAAGAAAGAAAUCCUGCCUGGCGAGGAACUUCAGCGACGAGGGCUUUCAACGGGAGAUGCUCUGUGGUGAUCAUCCUGCUCAACACUCGCAGAGACCAGGCACCGACACCAGAACCGCGCCGGGGCUGUCCUGCAAGCGCUGGUGGCAUCGCCUCACAGCUGGGGCUGCAGCCUCCCUCCAGGAUCGUGCCACACCAGCAGUUACAGGUUCAGCGCUGCAGCUGCCCUGCAGAAGUUGGUGGGACUCAAGAGCGGUCACUGAAGUUUUGUGGAAAUGUUCAGUGGAGAUUUUUGUGGCAGGUGUGAAAGCAAGCUGCCUUGCAGCUAACCCGGUGGUGCAGCCUAGAGAAAACAACUGGGAGGUGUCAUCUCUGGGAGCAGAGAGAGCAGCAAAUGGGCUGUGUGAAGGACAGAGAAAAAAGAAAGAAAGACCUCUUGCAAAUGAGAUGCCAACAGAAAAUAUGCUUUGGCAGCUGGAAAGGUGUAAUGAAAGCCUAGGCAAAAUAUAG
This 599-nucleotide long non-coding RNA is filed under the name Anser cygnoides (Swan goose). RNAcentral's name for it is "lncRNA (ENSACDG00005008758.1)". Lineage: Eukaryota; Metazoa; Chordata; Aves; Anseriformes; Anatidae. The record is from RNAcentral.